This 433-nucleotide ribosomal RNA is filed under the name uncultured bacterium. Its description in RNAcentral is "partial 16S ribosomal RNA". It matches the Rfam family "Bacterial small subunit ribosomal RNA", at positions 28 to 507 of the family's 1533-position model. The record is from RNAcentral.
GACGAACGCUGGCGGCAGGCCUAACACAUGCAAGUCGAGCGGACCUUUCGGGGUCAGCGGCGGACGGGUGAGUAACGCGUGGGAAUAUGCCCUUCUCUACGGAAUAGUCCUGGGAAACUGGGGGUAAUACCGUAUACGCCCUUUGGGGGAAAGAUUUAUCGGGGAAGGAUUAGCCCGCGUUGGAUUAGGUAGUUGGUGGGGUAAUGGCCUACCAAGCCGACGAUCCAUAGCUGGUUUGAGAGGAUGAUCAGCCACACUGGGACUGAGACACGGCCCAGACUCCUACGGGAGGCAGCAGUGGGGAAUCUUAGACAAUGGGGGCAACCCUGAUCUAGCCAUGCCGCGUGAGUGAUGAAGGCCUUAGGGUUGUAAAGCUCUUUGAGCUGGGAAGAUAAUGACGGUACCGGCAGAAGAAGCCCCGGCUAACUCCGUG